GACAGAUCUCACCACGGACCUCUGAUUAGCCAGAUGACAUGUAGAUAAGAUUUCAGGAACUACUACAGAAAAUGAAAUUGCAGGGACAAACCACUCCGACAGGGUGUUGGAAAAUCUACAGAGCGUUCACAGUGUGCCGAAUGUGACAGAACACAAGAGUGAGAAAAAUAAUAAAAAAAGAAACUGACCUCAGCUUUCCAGUGAAUUGGACCUCAGCUCUACAUCCUGGUAAAAAAGACCAUUAGAAAAGUUUCUGACACAAACUUAUCAACACGUAUAAGCUACAGGGACAGGUUACAGGCCAACAAUCUAUUUCCUCUCCUUCUUGCAAAUAAGAGUUGCAAAUAAGGCUGUAAAUCAACAUUACUCUGAAUAAUACUGGGAAUUUUGCAUAAGCUGUUUUGCCCCUAAACAUGCAACUCCAGCUUUUAAGAUGUAAAGGAUUAGCAUUUGAAGACACUUCCAGGAAUAAAACAUCAAG
Molecule: long non-coding RNA, 481 nt
Filed under: Chinchilla lanigera (long-tailed chinchilla)
Lineage: Eukaryota; Metazoa; Chordata; Mammalia; Rodentia; Chinchillidae
Description: lncRNA (ENSCLAG00000024780.1)
Source: RNAcentral